GGGGGAAUAAUGUUUAGUCCACAUGAAAAUAAAAUCAGAAAAUAGGUUGAAGGCAAGGAGAACAAACAAACCAGCAAUGAAACGUGUCAGCAUAAUGAAGAAAAAUGGAACUAUAUAAAAAUCCAAUGAAAUAGGACAAUAGGUUCAAUGUCAUUAAUCCAGAUUUAUAAUUUGACUGAAGUUGCUCAUGGACUUUUUCUAAGCCUAUAAACUUGACUUAACCUCAACAGGAUUAUUGUUUC
RNAcentral lists this unclassified non-coding RNA (242 nucleotides) under Hevea brasiliensis (rubber tree). The record is from RNAcentral. Lineage: Eukaryota; Viridiplantae; Streptophyta; Magnoliopsida; Malpighiales; Euphorbiaceae.